This 420-nucleotide ribosomal RNA is filed under the name bacterium. RNAcentral describes it as "partial 16S ribosomal RNA". It matches the Rfam family "Bacterial small subunit ribosomal RNA", at positions 355 to 776 of the family's 1533-position model. The record is from RNAcentral.
UGGGGGAUAUUGCACAAUGGGCGAAAGCCUGAUGCAGCGACGCCGCGUGGGGGAUGAAGGCUUUCGGGUUGUAAACCUCUUUCGCUAUCGAACAAGGCCCGCUUAGGGUGGGUUGAGGGUAGGUGGAGAAGAAGCGCCGGCUAACUACGUGCCAGCAGACGCGGUAAUACGUAGGGCGCGAGCGUUGUCCGGAAUUAUUGGGCGUAAAGGGCUUGUAGGCGGCUUGUUGCGCCUGCUGUGAAAACGCGGGGCUUAACUUCGCGCGUGCAGUGGGUACGGGCAGGCUUGAGUGUGGUAGGGGUGACUGGAAUUCCAGGUGUAGCGGUGGAAUGCGCAGAUAUCUGGAGGAACACCGAUGGCGAAGGCAGGUCACUGGGCCAUUACUGACGCUGAGGAGCGAAAGCAUGGGUAGCGAACAGG